This 955-nucleotide long non-coding RNA is filed under the name Homo sapiens (human). Its description in RNAcentral is "HSALNT0212650". The record is from RNAcentral. Lineage: Eukaryota; Metazoa; Chordata; Mammalia; Primates; Hominidae.
UGAAAGUUCUCUUCCCACUUUCCUGGUGGGAAAACAGAGUCCUAGGCAAAAGGAAGUGAGUGAGUCCUACUUGGUCAGUGCCAAGUAGAACCCAAGAGUCUGGAUGUCCAGUUCGAGGAAAGUCCCCAGACCCCAAAGUCAAUGGUGUCUUCAGGGGUCGGGGCUCCCUCACCGCUUCUCUGCCAGGAGCUUCUCCUCUAAGAGCUGCUGCAUCUUCUCCUCGAUCUGCCGGAGGUUGCUAUGGAGGCCCCCACUGGGAGGGGGCUGCUCACUCUGAUUGGCCAGUGUCUGCAGGUGGUUCUCGUUCUCCUCCAGCAUUUCCAGGGUUUUCUUCUUCUCUAUGGAGAGUUCCUGGCAUGGAGGGAGGCAAGGAAAAGAAAAGCCCAAUUUAGGUUCUCCAUCGUGGCUGCCCUCACCUGCUUUUCCGUUUGGGGGAGUGACCCACUCCUCUCUCAGUCCUCUAUGGCCGCUGAAAUGUCUUCAUUCUUCUCCAGAGCUAAAAGGCCCAGAUCUCUCCCACAACAGGGCAAGGUUACUCCUCCAUCAAGAGUCAUAAAGGAACCCAAAGUGCCUUCCAGUGGAGACGGCACCUACUAGAACGGGGUCGCAUGAUCUUCUGGGGUCCUGGUUCCUCCAGGGGUGAAUGAGGAGACAUAGUGGGCUUACGUGAAAAACACCCAACAGGAACCAGCCCAAGAGCAUAUUUAGAUGCUCUCACAAACAGAGCGAGGCUGCAGUGAGCUAUGAUUGCACCACUGCAUCCCAGCCUUGGCAACACAGCUAGAACCUGUCCCCAAACCACCCCCCACCCCACCUCCAAAAAAAAGAUGUCCUCUCCAUUUAUCAGACUGGGAUCUUGUACUCAAUGGCAUUACACAGAAGCAGAGUUGAAAAUAUCCAUGGGAACCACCUCCCAUGAUGUGAAACAGGGAAAGAUAAAUGAAUAAAGGCCCCA